CACUAUCACAGCCAUAGAAUGAUCCAGGCUUUCCUCUGCCUCAUCUUACCUUCUCUAGCUCUGGGGAUUCCAAUCUUGUUAUUAACAGGAUUUGACCCAGAUUUUUAGAACAUGAUGUUGGUGGUCAAUGCCAAGGCCAGGAUCCUCUUUGGAACAUUUAGCUUCAUUCUAUUAUACCAGCCUUAAACAUUCAGCUAGAACCUCCCUUAUAUUGGUCAAAAGCAGGACUAAGUGAGAGGCUGUGCAAACCCAGCCCUACUACUGGAGAAAAUAUUUCAAAAGUGGACUUUUCAGGAGUAAAUGGAUUGCUCAGUAGAUAGAGAACCAGGCCUGGAGACAGGAGGACCUGAGUUCCAAUGUUACCUCUACUUUUGCCUUGGAACUUAGUACAGAUUCUAAGACAGAAGUGAGGAGAGAUCAAUAAGGCUCCCAUGAAAGCCAGAGCCACAACACAGAGAUGGAGUGAGUCACAACACGUCAACUCCAAGCAAACUCCCAGGAUCAAACCUGCAGUCUGAGCCCCUGGGUCAGCUAAGGAGGGAGGAGAGAGACACGGAAAGAUCUGAGGAACAGAUGCUCUGCCAGCAGAUGAUUCCUGUGGGGCUUCCCUCUCUCCCUCCCACCUUCUUGACAGACUCAAGACAAAGAGUCCCGUGCUUUCCUGGGCUCAUUAAAUGUUUAUCUGGGACAUUCGGGGAAACAAAGAAAUGGAGAACGAAGGAGACUUUUCCAGAAUCGUCCAGUCGCUGGAUUAUAGCAAAAGGGACACUGGAUUUGGAGUCAGAGGCUUCCAGUCCUUAUUUUUUCUGUCAUUCUCCGAAUGACCUUGGCGAAGACACUUUGGAAACUUUAACCUCAGCUAGGGCUAGUAGAUGGGGUCUGUAG
RNAcentral lists this long non-coding RNA (885 nucleotides) under Monodelphis domestica (gray short-tailed opossum). RNAcentral's name for it is "lncRNA (ENSMODG00000047462.1)". Lineage: Eukaryota; Metazoa; Chordata; Mammalia; Didelphimorphia; Didelphidae. The record is from RNAcentral.